This is a long non-coding RNA of Aegilops tauschii subsp. strangulata, 1169 nucleotides long. RefSeq lists it as uncharacterized. The record is from RefSeq and is a predicted model, not a curated record. NCBI's taxonomy places the organism in Eukaryota, Viridiplantae, Streptophyta, Magnoliopsida, Poales, Poaceae.
CCUCCUAGCCCACCAGAGCCACGGCAUCUCGCCGGAGUUCGCCUCUGUUCGCCUCGGCCGCCGCGGUUCCUCCUUGGUUCCAGCGAGCUCGAGCAUCCCCCACCUCCCCUGGUGUUGUCCUCGAUCUCCCCCACCUCUUCGCAGUUCGCGCAAACCCCUUGCCCCUCGCCUGAGAGUUCCGUGGCCGCGUCGCCCUAGUCUGGCCGUCGUCUCCGUCGUUCGGCCACCGCAUCCUCCAGCCGUCUCGAGCCUCCUCGUGCCUCCCCGACCUCACCACGGCCUCCCCCUAGUCCUCGCGAGCCGCCCCGACUCCUCAGCCCUCGCCGGAGCGCCCUGCUCUGACGAACACCACCUCCGCCGAGCCGCCUCUGCCCUCCCAUGGCGCCGCCUCUCCCCUCCAGCCCUCUCCUCCCCGGCGGCCGUGCUCCCUUUUAACGGGUGCGGCGCAGCCCCGCGGUCCCGCCGGUACCCUCGGCCGGGCCGGGGAUCGCCGGAGCCGGCCGGCCCCUUGGUCGCUUCCUUCCCCUGCCCCGCUCUGUUCCACGGGAGGAAUAGAGGCGCGGGAGGAAGAGGACGACCUCGCUGGCCCCCUCCCCCUGCCCCUGGGUCCCACGCGCCAGUGUCCCAGGCGCCUCAGCCCACGUGGAUAAGUGGAGACGGGUUUAACCUGGUUUUUCCUCCCAGGGACCCGUUGGUGAUGAAAAUAUUCACAGAUUGGUCCCUGAUCUUCUACAUCUCAUAACUCCGCAACCGUAACUCCGUUUAAGCCCCCUCCGAGAGAGAACUGUUUCCGGCAAAUCUUUCCGCGGCUUCACCGCACUUCUCCCCGGUGCCUCUUCAUCCCAGGCAAGCCACAAUACCCAAUUGCAUGAUAUUCAUGCAGUAGCCAUGGUUUUCAACUUGAAUCUUUACUAAAUGUUUGCUUGUUGAAAAGAUGGUUAUCGCUGUUCUGGUAAUGUUUAGAGUUGCAUGUUCACUUUUGUGCUAUGUUGUCUUGUACUCUGUUAUCAUGUUCUACCUGCUAGUAUCUCCUUUCAUAUGUUUAUGAUUGCUAGUGGUACAUGUUGAUGUUGGUGAUGGUCAUGCUAGUCAAUAUGCCAUGCUAAGUGGAUAUGAUUUAUUAUUGAUAUGGUGGAUAGUUAUGCGAUACCCUCAUGAUUAUGUUGAUA